RNAcentral lists this ribosomal RNA (433 nucleotides) under uncultured bacterium. Its description in RNAcentral is "partial 16S ribosomal RNA". It matches the Rfam family "Bacterial small subunit ribosomal RNA", at positions 29 to 507 of the family's 1533-position model. The record is from RNAcentral.
AACGAACGCUGGCGGCAGGCCUAACACAUGCAAGUCGAGCGCGCCCUUCGGGGUGAGCGGCGGACGGGUGAGUAACGCGUGAGAACGUGCCCUUUUCUACGGAAUAGCCUCGGGAAACUGAGAGUAAUACCGUAUACGCCCUUUGGGGGAAAGAUUUAUCGGAAAAGGAUCGGCCCGCGUUGGAUUAGGUAGUUGGUGGGGUAAUGGCCUACCAAGCCGACGAUCCAUAGCUGGUUUGAGAGGAUGAUCAGCCACACUGGGACUGAGACACGGCCCAGACUCCUACGGGAGGCAGCAGUGGGGAAUCUUAGACAAUGGGGGCAACCCUGAUCUAGCCAUGCCGCGUGAGUGAUGAAGGCCUUAGGGUUGUAAAGCUCUUUCAGCUGGGAAGAUAAUGACGGUACCAGCAGAAGAAGCCCCGGCUAACUCCGUG